RNAcentral lists this long non-coding RNA (492 nucleotides) under Canis lupus familiaris (dog). RNAcentral describes it as "lncRNA (ENSCAFG00000054935.1)". The record is from RNAcentral. Lineage: Eukaryota; Metazoa; Chordata; Mammalia; Carnivora; Canidae.
AUGAGGCCACAGUCGGUGCUCCGGGGGGCUCACCUGCUCUGGAGGGCUUCACACCAGGGAACCUGCUCUAGUGGGGCGUGGCCUGCUUGUACGGAGACUUCCUGCUCUGCAGUGAUGUUCCAUUCAGCUUCUGAGGGAGAUCUGCAGUCUCAGACCUGGUUGCAGCAUCCAGGCCACGACUGGACUGCCUGUGCUGAGAACUUCAGAGGCGCAAUACCCCACAUGAGAGGGGAAAGUGUUGCCAGAGCACUGGAGCGCACAUCCGAACUGGGGAGCUUGCUGGCUGUGGACCUUAGAAAUUUCUUUACAUUGUUUUUUAGCCUCCGUGUCUUUAUCUGCAAAAUGGGAUUACUAAUGUCUACCGUACAUGAUUGUUGUGAGGACGAAAACAGACAGGCAUUUCAAGCACUCAGUAAGAACUCUAUGAAUAGCACCUAUUUAUUAUGUCCAGCUGGCAAAGGGCUUUGUGGGCACUUCAAAAGCAACAUGUGA